RNAcentral lists this ribosomal RNA (351 nucleotides) under Hygrotus compar. RNAcentral's name for it is "partial 12S ribosomal RNA". Lineage: Eukaryota; Metazoa; Arthropoda; Insecta; Coleoptera; Dytiscidae. The record is from RNAcentral.
UUAAAAUGUAAAAUUUAUUAUCAAAGUAGUAUUAGUUAUGAUCUUGAAAUUUAAAGAUUUUGGCGGUGUUUUAGUCUGUUUAGAGGAACCUGUUCUAUAAUUGAUAGUCCACGAUAAAUUUUACUUUAUUUAAUUAGUUUGUAUAUCGUCGUUAUUAAGUAUUUUAAAAGAAAUUAAAUAUUUAAUGUUUUUUAUAAGAUUUCAUUUCAGAUCAAGGUGCAGUUUAUAGUAAAGUAGAAAUGGGUUACAAUAAAAUUAUUUAUGCGAAUUUAUUUAUUAAAAUAAUAAUGAAGAUGGAUUUAAUAGUAAUAAAAUUUAAAUAAAUUUUAUGAUUUAAGCUCUAAAAUGUGU